GAUGAACGCUGGCGGCGUGCUUAACACAUGCAAGUCGAACGGGAAACUUUUCAUUGAAGCUUCGGCAGAUUUGGUCUGUUUCUAGUGGCGGACGGGUGAGUAACGCGUGGGUAACCUGCCUUAUACAGGGGGAUAACAACCAGAAAUGGUUGCUAAUACCGCAUAAGCGCACAGGACCGCAUGGUCCGGUGUGAAAAACUCCGGUGGUAUAAGAUGGACCCGCGUUGGAUUAGCUGGUUGGCAGGGUAACGGCCUACCAAGGCGACGAUCCAUAGCCGGCCUGAGAGGGUGAACGGCCACAUUGGGACUGAGACACGGCCCAGACUCCUACGGGAGGCAGCAGUGGGGAAUAUUGCACAAUGGGGGAAACCCUGAUGCAGCGACGCCGCGUGAAGGAAGAAGUAUCUCGGUAUGUAAACUUCUAUCAGCAGGGAAGAUAGUGACGGUACCUGACUAAGAAGC
Molecule: ribosomal RNA, 462 nt
Filed under: uncultured bacterium
Lineage: Bacteria
Description: bacterial SSU rRNA
Rfam family: Bacterial small subunit ribosomal RNA
Source: RNAcentral